RNAcentral lists this ribosomal RNA (492 nucleotides) under uncultured bacterium. RNAcentral describes it as "partial 16S ribosomal RNA". It matches the Rfam family "Bacterial small subunit ribosomal RNA", at positions 29 to 507 of the family's 1533-position model. The record is from RNAcentral.
AGUGAACGCUGGCGGUAGGCCUAACACAUGCAAGUCGAACGGCAGCACAGUAAGAGCUUGCUAUUACGGGUGGCGAGUGGCGGACGGGUGAGGAAUACAUCGGAAUCUACUUUUUCGUGGGGGAUAACGAAGGGAAACUUACGCUAAUACCGCAUACGACCUACGGGUGAAAGCAGGGGAUCUUCGGACCUUGCGCGAUUGAAUGGGCCGAUGUCGGAUUAGCUAGGUGGCGGGGUAAAGGCCCACCAAGGCGACGAUCCGUAGCUGGUCUGAGAGGAUGAACAGCCACACUGGAACUGAGACACGGUCCAGACUCCUACGGGAGGCAGCAGUGGGGAAUAGUGGACGAUGUGCGCAAGCCUGAUCCAGCCAUACCGCGUGGGUGAAGAAGGCCUUCGUGUUGUAAAGCCCUUUUGUUGGGAAAGAAAAGCAGCAGGUUAAUACCCCGCUGUUCUGACGGUACCCAAAGAAUAAGCACCGGCUAACUUCGUG